This 397-nucleotide ribosomal RNA is filed under the name uncultured bacterium. RNAcentral's name for it is "partial 16S ribosomal RNA". It matches the Rfam family "Bacterial small subunit ribosomal RNA", at positions 523 to 918 of the family's 1533-position model. The record is from RNAcentral.
AUACGUAGGGGGCGAGCGUUGUCCGGAAUGAUUGGGCGUAAAGGGCGCGUAGGCGGCUUUGCAAGUCAGUAGUGGAAGUCCAUUUUUCAAGGAUGGAAGUGCUACAGAAACUGCGGAGCUUGAGUGCAGGAGAGGUUAUCGGAAUUCCCGGUGUAGCGGUGAAAUGCGUAGAGAUCGGGAGGAACACCAGUGGCGAAGGCGAGUAACUGGACUGCAACUGACGCUGAGGCGCGAAAGUGUGGGGAGCAAACAGGAUUAGAUACCCUGGUAGUCCACACUGUAAACGAUGAAUGCUAGGUGUAGGAGGUAUCGACCCCUUCUGUGCCGCAGUAAACACAGUAAGCAUUCCGCCUGGGGAGUACGGUCGCAAGAUUAAAACUCAAAUGAAUCGACGGGG